GACGUAGGGCGCGAGCGUUGUCCGGAUUUAUUGGGCGUAAAGAGCUCGUAGGCGGCUUGUCGCGUCGUCCGUGAAAACCUGGGGCUCAACUCGUGGGCGUGCGGUCGAUACGGGCAUCACUUGAGUUCGGCAGGGAGACUGGAAUUCCUGGUGUAGCGGUGAAAUGCGCAGAUAUCAGGAGGAACACCGGUGGCGAAGGCGGGUCUCUGGGCCGAUACUGACGCUGAGGAGCGAAAGCGUGGGGAGCGAACAGG
Molecule: ribosomal RNA, 254 nt
Filed under: uncultured bacterium
Lineage: Bacteria
Description: partial 16S ribosomal RNA
Rfam family: Bacterial small subunit ribosomal RNA
Source: RNAcentral